Molecule: long non-coding RNA, 2269 nt
Organism: Ananas comosus (pineapple)
Lineage: Eukaryota; Viridiplantae; Streptophyta; Magnoliopsida; Poales; Bromeliaceae
Exons: 4
Source: RefSeq, a predicted model, not a curated record
UCUGUCCUUUUUUUUAUACACUUGGUUUAUACCAUUCAACCUCUUCCUCUCUCUACCCUCUCUCUUCCCCAAAACCUGCCGACUCCCAUUGCUGCUGCCGUUAUUUUCGUCCUUUGCACAGUACAAAGGACAAAAAUAGCGGCGGAAAGGACUCUUGCGCCGUUCCCAAAUCCCGAGCUUCCGAAUCCUACCCCUCCCAUUCGAAACCCUAGCUCCUUCGAUCAGGGAGAAGGGUUGGUGGCCAUGGCGCUCUACCUCCUCUUUGAGUCAGCACCGACGAGAUCGGCGAAGGGUUGGUGGCCAUGGCGUAAGGCCUCGACGAGAUCGGCCAAAACACCUAAGCCAUGCGCACUUCGUCCUCGACUUCACGCACUUCGGCAAGUCAUCAAAUUCGUCGGCUUCUACGGAAUCGCUUUUUUGUAGACAUCUCCUCCUCCUACCAAAUUAAGUUCGCAGCACUGCAGAAGUCGGCGCCGAGAUCUGCAUGAGGGGGCUGUUGUCAGUGUUGUGUCUGAGGCGGAGGACGCCGACUUCUUCUUCUUCUCCUUCUUCUUCUUCGGGACAUCAUCGCUCCGUACCCAUCUCUUUCCCUCUCCCCAUUUUUCCCCUUCUCUACGCAUUCGAAACUCUUAAUUAAUUAUUAAUCAUUAUUAUUAUUAUUAAUUUUUUCUAUAUUUUUGGGAUUUUAGGAGAAGGGCGAAGCCGCAGCGAACGGUGGUGGUGGUGAGUUAGCCUGAAUGCUCCCUUAUUCUCACUACAGAAUCAGAUUUCUCUUCUCAAUCAAGCCAAGGUAAUAUUGGCCCUCAAUUGUUCGAAGAAAUGCCAAAACAAGUUUUUUAAAAUAUUUUUUAAGAUUUUUCUUUAAUACUCUCUUAUACUCUCUCCUUUUUUUUAUGGACUAUCUCACUCUAGCAGGAUUACCUCUCUGAUAUGAAAAUUUUUCAAGCCUUGGGCUUGCCUAAGAUGAAACAACUAAUUAGCUCUUUGAAUAGUAAUUACUUUUUUUGUUAGUGCCCUCUGAACUACCUGUAAGGUAAGAAUAUUGGCUUCUGAACUACUUGAAACAUCUAAAAUGUUGAUAUAGCAUUUGUACUGCAGUGGCUUCUUUGGUAUUUGCAGUUUGGUGGUAAGUAGGUGAUAUUGUAAAUUAUUUACAGAUAAUCGUGGUAAGCUAAUUGAUGUUUUCUUAGAACAUCUUGACUUGCAUUUUUAGCAACCAUUACUGAAAUGUGUUUAUCAUUGGCAUGUAUUUGUAUUGCAUAUAUUCAAUAUUGCUGAGAAGAAAGAUUCAUCGGAAGUUGUUGUAAUUCUAGCAAAGUUUUACUUUGAACAUAUAGAUUGUGCGCAUGAAAUAUGACUAAUGAGAUUAAAAAUCUUGCCUCAACAGAUAUCCGCCGGAAAUCGAUAUCGCUGAGGAAUUGAAGUCAAAAACAAGUUUAAUGCUAUUGACUUUCGCCACACCAUUUUUCCCUUACCAUUUGCUGUGAUUUACUGUACUAAUUGGUUUAUAAUAAUUGUAGGGAAAGUUGAAAUAACCUCUGCCCAAGGUAUGCGUUUGGUCGUCUACACUGUACUAAGUUCUAAUAUUUAUUAGUGUAGUUUUUUGCUUUUUUUCCUUUGGGUUUGUGGGUUGGAUUUGAAUGUGUGGUGUAAUAGUGGGCUCCUGCAUUUGGUUGCACUACACUUACAUUUGAGCGAUUUGACCUCCUUCAGUCAAUGCUUUUAACUUUAUCAAAUAAUAUGAUUAAUUUCAAAUUUAAGACAAACGUACUUCAUACAACCAUUGAGUUUUCUUUGUAAAUUUGAUCAGUUAAAUAAUUUUACCCCACUGAGUUUUAUGCAGGUGUACCAACAGGAUGGCCAUGAAAUAGAAAAACAUAUAGGUUUAACUCUUCCCAAACAUACUGAGAGUGACAUAUUUGGAGAAGCAUCUCUACCAAUGAUUACUCACUCCAGGAUUUCUAAAGAUUAGACAGGACUAUCUCCAAGUGUGGAGGAACCAAGUAAAAAAUGACUUGGGCUCACAGAAGAUGAUGGACAACCAGCAGCAACAAAUAAUUAGGCUACUCUACAUAUUAAUCAUGCAUUUUUUUGGAAUUUCAACUCGAAUUGAUGCGAUUGCCAUAUGGACAAUUGAUAUCUGUAUUAAUCAUGCAUGUUUUUUGAAUUUGGUGGUAAAAUAAUGACACUAUUUUGUUAAGACUUACAACUUUAAAAAAUAUCUAAUGUAUGUAAGAAUUUUUAUUUCAGCGAAUAUUUUUUUUUAUUA